This 459-nucleotide ribosomal RNA is filed under the name Streptococcus sp. oral taxon C14. RNAcentral's name for it is "bacterial SSU rRNA". It matches the Rfam family "Bacterial small subunit ribosomal RNA", at positions 30 to 477 of the family's 1533-position model. Lineage: Bacteria; Bacillati; Bacillota; Bacilli; Lactobacillales; Streptococcaceae. The record is from RNAcentral.
AUUGAACGCUGGCGGCAGGCUUAACACAUGCAAGUCGAACGGUAACAUAAAGAAGCUUGCUUCUUUGAUGACGAGUGGCGGACGGGUGAGUAAUGCUUGGGAAUCUAGCUCAUGGAGGGGGAUAACUACGGGAAACUGUAGCUAAUACCGCGUAAUAUCGAAAGAUUAAAGUGUGGGACCUUCGGGCCACAUGCCAUAGGAUGAGCCCAAGUGGGAUUAGGUAGUUGGUGAGGUAAAGGCUCACCAAGCCGACGAUCUCUAGCUGGUCUGAGAGGAUGACCAGCCACACUGGGACUGAGACACGGCCCAGACUCCUACGGGAGGCAGCAGUGGGGAAUAUUGCGCGAUGGGGGCAACCCUGACGCAGCCAUGCCGCGUGAAUGAAGAAGGCCUUCGGGUUGUAAAGUUCUUUCGGUAGCGAGGAAGGCAUUUAGUUUAAUAGACUAGGUGAUGACGUAA